RNAcentral lists this transfer RNA (72 nucleotides) under Ovis aries (sheep). It matches the Rfam family "tRNA". From Rfam's summary of the family: Transfer RNA (tRNA) molecules are approximately 80 nucleotides in length. Their secondary structure includes four short double-helical elements and three loops (D, anti-codon, and T loops). Lineage: Eukaryota; Metazoa; Chordata; Mammalia; Artiodactyla; Bovidae. The record is from Rfam by way of RNAcentral.
UCCCUGCUGGCCCAGCUGGUAAAGAAUCUGCCUGGAAUGCAGGAGACCCAGGUUUGAUUCCUGGGUUGGAAA